AACGAUUAGUAUGGGAUUGUCAGACAAACUGACAACAAACUGAACUACUUUUCGGUUUCAACAAGAGAAUGUUUUAUUUAUAAAAAAGAGACAAAUUUGUGUUUCUCCAUUGACCAAUCUCUGUGAUUUAAAACGUUUGCUAGUCUCAAGGUGCUCUGAGGUGGUAGUCAUGAUAUUGUGUUGAUUAUGUGUUUAUCCACAUGCAAACUAACCGCACAGGCUUGUUAUUUGAAAACUGGUUCUUCCCUUCACUAGGUGCACCUCUCUGCGCAAUAUAAGAGACAAUGAAGAAAAAGACUCUGCGUUCAGAGGAAUCUGCACCAUGAUCACGGUCAACCCUGGUGGUGUGGUGCAGGACUUUAUAUUUUUCUGUGAUGCUGUAGCAUCCUGGAUGAACCCAAAAGAUGAUCUUCGAGAAAUGUUCUACAAGAUCUUGCAUGGGUUUAAGAACCAGGUUGGAGACGAGAAUUGGAGACACUUUUCUGACCAGUUUCCUCUUCCACUCAAAGAAAGACUUGCAGCCUUCUAUGGGGUGUAGAUGUUACCUGAUUGAAGAGGUACAUUUCCGUGCGAUUUUCUAAGCUAGCCUGUCUGUUACAGUUUUCUUUCCCAUGAAGUGUAUAUUCAUGCUUGCUAAAAAUUUGUGUAUUUCCUCUACUCAAAUUUAGCAAGCUUUCACAGUUGUUACAAAUUUAUUGUAUAAAAGAAAAUGUGUUGUGAGCACAGUAACAUCGUUCAGAGGUUUGUGGCCAGUAAUUACUAAUUUACAUUAGUAAUUUGGUUUCAUGAACAAACUUGGCUAAUAGUUGGAUAAUGUUAUAAUAGUAAUA
This is a long non-coding RNA of Sinocyclocheilus rhinocerous, 830 nucleotides long. RefSeq lists it as uncharacterized. The record is from RefSeq and is a predicted model, not a curated record. The transcript has 3 exons. Lineage: Eukaryota; Metazoa; Chordata; Actinopteri; Cypriniformes; Cyprinidae.